ACAUGUAAAUUAUAAAAUUAUUGUAUUUGAAAUAGUUAUAUAAAUAUUUAAGUAUAUGAUUAACAUUAAAAAUAUAUACCACUUAUGUUCUAAAACAAUAAUUUAUGUAUAGAAAAGUGAAAACAAAUACCCGUGCGGUUGCACGAGUAAAAAUCUAGUUUCAAAAUUAAGAAAAAAGUUUGCCGCCUACAAUAGUGUAAUAUGGUCGAAAACAUAUCUUCAGUACGAUAAUAUGUCAAUAACAUUACAAAUUUUAUGUUAAUGCAUACCACAUAUACAAAUAAAAAGCAUUAUGGUGAAAACUAUAUAAUUAGGUUUAAUUGAUUUUUACACUAGUUAAUGGGUCAGUCUGUAAUUUAUAAACUCAAAUUCAAUUCAAAUAAAAAACAAUUGUCUUUACCAAAAAAACUGACGCUAUUUCUAAGAUUCUUCGAGCAAAAUUGAUUUGGGGAUUUCUAACACAGAAAAAGAGACAAAGAGCAAAGAGAGAGAUAUUACCAAUCCAACCAACAUCAUUUCCUUUUCUUACAGUGGAUUUGUUAUAAAAAAAAUAGAUUUGGUCCAUUUGGAGAAAAAUCUAAAAUUAAAGUGUUAUUGGAGAAAUUCGUGUGUGAUACUGUGGUUUUGGAGCAUUCAGUUGCAGGAAGAGGGUUUAUCAUCAGGAGACCGUCGAGAUAUAUCGAGGAGUCUAGGAGAUGAGGAACAGAAAACGCUUUAUGCAAAGCUCGGAGACAUUCUUCUGACACAAACUGCAUGGGAUGUUUUAAGAAGUGAGUGUAAGUUUUUUCACCUCUGUUCUUAAGUGUAGGUUUGUCACUCUGUUCUCAGUUCCUGUCCUUAGUUUGUGGUUAGAUUAGACCAUCUAAAACCUUAAUUUUUGUCUGAUUAAUAUUAUCUAAAACCUUAAUUUCUCUAGUGCUAGUCAAGGUUGAAGAAGCUUCAGUUCAGCCUCAUGAAGAUACAGAAAACAGACACAAAAGCAGGACUUUCCCUGCAAGUGCCAUGUCUAGCAACUUGUGGGAGAUUUUGUUCAUCCAAUGAAUAACCAAAUGACAAAAGAAAACUAUAGCUGUUGAUUAAAAAUAAAGAACAGUAGCAAAUUUUUAUGAAAACCAGCUGACUUCGUUUCAGGCAUCAGACUCUUUUUUUUUGGUAAGAUUCAGGCAUCAGACUCUUUAUUGUGUUCUUCGCUUCUCCUCAUUGAAUAACCAAUUGUUUUUUUUUUAAAUUGGGUUUAAGUUUAGUAAAUUAUAGAUUGACCCUGUUAAUUAGUGUAAAAAUUAAUUAAACCUAAUUGUAUAGUUCUUACCAUAUUAUUUUUAACUUUGUACAUGUGGUAUGAAUUAACAUAAAAUUGGUGACAUGUUUUUUUUA
Long non-coding RNA from Brassica rapa (field mustard), 1374 nucleotides. RefSeq lists it as uncharacterized. Lineage: Eukaryota; Viridiplantae; Streptophyta; Magnoliopsida; Brassicales; Brassicaceae. The record is from RefSeq and is a predicted model, not a curated record.